RNAcentral lists this transfer RNA (28 nucleotides) under Frullania junghuhniana. RNAcentral's name for it is "partial tRNA-Phe". The record is from RNAcentral. Lineage: Eukaryota; Viridiplantae; Streptophyta; Jungermanniopsida; Porellales; Frullaniaceae.
GCCGGAAUAGCUCAGUUGGUAGAGCAGG